This is a long non-coding RNA of Myiozetetes cayanensis, 776 nucleotides long. RefSeq lists it as uncharacterized. Lineage: Eukaryota; Metazoa; Chordata; Aves; Passeriformes; Tyrannidae. The record is from RefSeq and is a predicted model, not a curated record. The transcript has 3 exons.
AAGUUCUGUAUUUUAGAGAAGAAUGGCAAGACAAUUGUUUUGGCUUAGUGUGCUACUUUUUGCUAGAAAGAUGCUUUAUUAACAGUAUAGAGAUUUAGAAAAAGCUAGUAUUAAGCUUGAUUCUACCUUCAAAAUCUUCUGGAAAGCCCAGAAAUCCACAUGAUCCAUGAUGUACAGAAGAAAAUUAAUCAGGAGAUGUCUCUACUGACACCUGAAAGAGCCAGACAAGAAUUGUCUCCUCACUGCUGUGCAGCUCAGGUCUUUCAACAAGCUUUAGGCAUUACCAGGAAACAUCCUUUCAAUUUUGACACAAGAAGCAGCAAUGUCACAGGAGGAAACACUCUAAGACCAAAGACAGUGCCUAGCAGAUGAAAGGAGAGAAUGGCUAUUACUACACCUAAAUGAAAAGACUCUUCCUAAUGUCUUCACACAGCUACAGCAACAAAGGCUGAUCCAGAAGUAAACCCAAAUGCAUUUUUAAUCUGUCCAGGUCACUUUAGAAAAUGCCACUGAACAGGCAACCUGUGAUUGAAGUAAGAGAAGAAUAAUGUAUAUGCAAAUUAAAGACAGGCAGAAAUAGUGUCCUGCAUAUAUACUUCAAUGUAAUUUAAUCUGCUAAUCCAUUUUUGGUACUGGGUGAUUCAGAUCCUCCUCCUCCUGAGCAAGAGCAGCACUGCAUGUCCUCCUUUCACAGACAAUGCAGCACAGGAGAGAAAGGCAAGGACAUCGGUGAAAACUAAAAAGCUUCCUUUGAUUGUGGUAACCGUGGAACAUGA